UGCCUUCGGGAACCGUGAGACAGGUGCUGCAUGGCUGUCGUCAGCUCGUGUUGUGAAAUGUUGGGUUAAGUCCCGCAACGAGCGCAACCCUUAUCCUUUGUUGCCAGCGAUUCGGUCGGGAACUCAAAGGAGACUGCCGGUGAUAAACCGGAGGAAGGUGGGGAUGACGUCAAGUCAUCAUGGCCCUUACGAGUAGGGCUACACACGUGCUACAAUGGCGCAUACAAAGAGAAGCGACCUCGCGAGAGCAAGCGGACCUCACAAAGUGCGUCGUAGUCCGGAUCGGAGUCUGCAACUCGACUCCGUGAAGUCGGAAUCGCUAGUAAUCGUGGAUCAGAAUGCCACGGUGAAUACGUUCCCGGGCCUUG
This 368-nucleotide ribosomal RNA is filed under the name uncultured Pantoea sp. Its description in RNAcentral is "bacterial SSU rRNA". It matches the Rfam family "Bacterial small subunit ribosomal RNA", at positions 1014 to 1383 of the family's 1533-position model. The record is from RNAcentral. Lineage: Bacteria; Pseudomonadati; Pseudomonadota; Gammaproteobacteria; Enterobacterales; Erwiniaceae.